RNAcentral lists this small RNA (762 nucleotides) under Pan troglodytes (chimpanzee). RNAcentral describes it as "processed transcript". The record is from RNAcentral. Lineage: Eukaryota; Metazoa; Chordata; Mammalia; Primates; Hominidae.
GUCUCAGACUUGGGAAAACUGCCUAAUAUUAUGCUGUAGUGGAAUUAUGUUUAGAUUUGAAUUCAUCUGUGAAGCAUUCAAAUCAAAGCUAAAAACCUAAAUGUGAAAUGCUAAUGACAAGCCUGAGAAGAAAACAGGUGACAUUUGUAUCUACGAUAAAAAUUUUUAUACAGAACCUACUGCCUCAAACUGAAUCCCAUCAAGAAAACUAGUUUCUAUUGUAUUAGUAACUCAAAAUAAAUUAUCACUUCGAAAACUUGCUUUCCCACACUAAGGUAAGUUCAGACUAGAUUGAACACUCCAGAAGUUUUUUCUAUUACAGACUGUUUUUAAGUUAGAAGUGAUGGCAAUUUUAUAAAUAGAGAAUAUACUUCCACUGAUGCCCUUACUGUGCCAAAACAAAAAUCUUAAGAAAAGCAAGUAGACACCUUCAUAACUAUGAAUGAAGCUGCUGAGGUAGUGUUUAGGAUCCUCCAUGUCAGUUAGUGAAUGUAAGAAGUACAGUGUUAAAGUGUUGUAAACAGUUACUCAGUGCAAUGUAUAGCCUGAGUCUAUCCAUGAUGGCUAUAUCCAAUUUGACAUCACGUUAUGGAUCAAUACACAAUGAAAAACCAAAGAACCACAGUAUGUCUUAUUCUUAACUUUUGUAAACCAUGUUUUAUGGGUAACUUUUUAGUUUUCCCAAAAGGCUGAUAAAUUUCAAUAUUUUGAGUACAUCAUUGUUAAUUUUGAGUUGGCAGAGGUAAACUAACCAACUACCAU